Molecule: long non-coding RNA, 181 nt
Organism: Asparagus officinalis (garden asparagus)
Lineage: Eukaryota; Viridiplantae; Streptophyta; Magnoliopsida; Asparagales; Asparagaceae
Exons: 3
Source: RefSeq, a predicted model, not a curated record
CCAAUCUGGAGGAUGUUUAUUGUCAAGAUACGGGGAAAUCAUUAAUGCCGAUACACUUGAGGGCCAGAGCGGCAUAUGGUACUUUUCGUGAACAAUAUAGGGGUGAUGAGAGGAAUCGGGAUAAGAUCACGGCAAAUCUCGAGUUAGUGGAGGGAUUUGAGACUGCAUCCAAGGAGGCUGC